This 1555-nucleotide ribosomal RNA is filed under the name Salmonella enterica subsp. enterica serovar Typhi. Its description in RNAcentral is "bacterial SSU rRNA". It matches the Rfam family "Bacterial small subunit ribosomal RNA". Lineage: Bacteria; Pseudomonadati; Pseudomonadota; Gammaproteobacteria; Enterobacterales; Enterobacteriaceae. The record is from RNAcentral.
UUAAAUUGAAGAGUUUGAUCAUGGCUCAGAUUGAACGCUGGCGGCAGGCCUAACACAUGCAAGUCGAACGGUAACAGGAAGCAGCUUGCUGCUUUGCUGACGAGUGGCGGACGGGUGAGUAAUGUCUGGGAAACUGCCUGAUGGAGGGGGAUAACUACUGGAAACGGUGGCUAAUACCGCAUAACGUCGCAAGACCAAAGAGGGGGACCUUCGGGCCUCUUGCCAUCAGAUGUGCCCAGAUGGGAUUAGCUUGUUGGUGAGGUAACGGCUCACCAAGGCGACGAUCCCUAGCUGGUCUGAGAGGAUGACCAGCCACACUGGAACUGAGACACGGUCCAGACUCCUACGGGAGGCAGCAGUGGGGAAUAUUGCACAAUGGGCGCAAGCCUGAUGCAGCCAUGCCGCGUGUAUGAAGAAGGCCUUCGGGUUGUAAAGUACUUUCAGCGGGGAGGAAGGUGUUGUGGUUAAUAACCGCAGCAAUUGACGUUACCCGCAGAAGAAGCACCGGCUAACUCCGUGCCAGCAGCCGCGGUAAUACGGAGGUGCAAGCGUUAAUCGGAAUUACUGGGCGUAAAGCGCACGCAGGCGGUCUGUCAAGUCGGAUGUGAAAUCCCCGGGCUCAACCUGGGAACUGCAUUCGAAACUGGCAGGCUUGAGUCUUGUAGAGGGGGGUAGAAUUCCAGGUGUAGCGGUGAAAUGCGUAGAGAUCUGGAGGAAUACCGGUGGCGAAGGCGGCCCCCUGGACAAAGACUGACGCUCAGGUGCGAAAGCGUGGGGAGCAAACAGGAUUAGAUACCCUGGUAGUCCACGCCGUAAACGAUGUCUACUUGGAGGUUGUGCCCUUGAGGCGUGGCUUCCGGAGCUAACGCGUUAAGUAGACCGCCUGGGGAGUACGGCCGCAAGGUUAAAACUCAAAUGAAUUGACGGGGGCCCGCACAAGCGGUGGAGCAUGUGGUUUAAUUCGAUGCAACGCGAAGAACCUUACCUGGUCUUGACAUCCACAGAACUUUCCAGAGAUGGAUUGGUGCCUUCGGGAACUGUGAGACAGGUGCUGCAUGGCUGUCGUCAGCUCGUGUUGUGAAAUGUUGGGUUAAGUCCCGCAACGAGCGCAACCCUUAUCCUUUGUUGCCAGCGGUCCGGCCGGGAACUCAAAGGAGACUGCCAGUGAUAAACUGGAGGAAGGUGGGGAUGACGUCAAGUCAUCAUGGCCCUUACGACCAGGGCUACACACGUGCUACAAUGGCGCAUACAAAGAGAAGCGACCUCGCGAGAGUAAGCGGACCUCAUAAAGUGCGUCGUAGUCCGGAUUGGAGUCUGCAACUCGACUCCAUGAAGUCGGAAUCGCUAGUAAUCGUGGAUCAGAAUGCCACGGUGAAUACGUUCCCGGGCCUUGUACACACCGCCCGUCACACCAUGGGAGUGGGUUGCAAAAGAAGUAGGUAGCUUAACCUUCGGGGGGGCGCUUACCACUUUGUGAUUCAUGACUGGGGUGAAGUCGUAACAAGGUAACCGUAGGGGAACCUGCGGUUGGAUCACCUCCUUACCUUAAAGAAGC